GUGCUUCAACAUUCACUCAAGUUUGCCUUACGAAAUAGGACUAAUAUUGACUAUAACAUUACACAGUGCUCUGGCAUUCUUUGAACCUGUCCAGAUGAUCAAUCGUGCUUCGCCCUCUUUACCCACGUGGGUAAUCAUUUCCGGAAUAUUGAGUGUUUUUGUGUACUCGAUCGAUAUUUGUCUGUCAAUUAUCUACACAUCAAGGCGAAAUUUCAUCUCGUCUAUUCAUAAUAUAAGUUAUAUCAUCAUGGUAUUUCUGCUUGCGUCUGACUAUAUUAUUUACACUCUCACUAAAAGGAUGAUUUUUCGUUUUCUACGAGCAACUUUA
This is a non-coding RNA of Styela clava, 328 nucleotides long. Lineage: Eukaryota; Metazoa; Chordata; Ascidiacea; Stolidobranchia; Styelidae. The record is from RefSeq and is a predicted model, not a curated record.